AGAGAAGCGCGCCCCGCGGUCUUCCGGGCCGCUGGGCCGAGGAGGUGCCGAGGGGCGGCGUCCAGCCGCGUCCUCAGGAGCUACCCCGGUUAGGGAGGUGCUGUCCUGGCGUCGGGUGGGGACGGGGAGCGCGUCGAGGGUGCUGCGACUUCUGCCCACCUGGCCCGGCCUCAGUCUCUGAGUUCCUGUUCCUCACAGGAGCUAAUUAUUUAUGACAGCUGCAAGGUGCCCCUCCCCCAGUUACUCAGUGCUUGGCACUCAGCACCCCUUAACUCAGCACUCAGUACCGCACUCAGCCUCUGAGGACCUGGGCAGAGGGAAGCAGGGAGUCUCCUGCGGAAACUCUUGCUCUGCCAAAGUAGGUUGAAAGGUCGGAAAUCGGUGGUUUUGGGCCGGGCUUUGGGCGGCAACCCAGCUUCUCUGGGCCUGAUAAGGGUCUUGUGCUGUCCCACCUGGAAAACUCAGAUAACCGAGCUGGCGAGGCCCUUGUCAAGUCCUUCCGGUAGCUCGGUCACUAGGGGCCUGGACAGCGAAUGAGGAAGACUUACUGCAGAAAUUCAGAGCCUAGCAACCUGGACCAGGGUGGAGGCAGCAGACGAGGUUUAUAUCAUAGGGCUCAGAGAUGUUCGCCAUCUGAAACGCUGACCUCUGGGAUAAGCUUAAUGUUGAUACCCAACUUAAGAAGAGGCUAGCCAGCGCGAGAGAGGAACUCAAAUGCCCAGCUCGUGGGUUGCUACUCAUUGCUAUUCAAGAGGAGCUGGUCAAAAACACAUCUCAUGCAACCAUGUAAUGCAAGAUUUUACAACUUCCAUAGGAAUGAGGCAGAUCUACAUGUUGCAAAACAGAACAGACGCAAAUGGAUAUAUACAGUUACAGGAAAAACAAUGGCGAGUACAUGUCAUCAGCAUUCUGGCAUGAAGGAGUCCUCAGAGAAAUGGCUGACUGCCGUCCGGAUCACCCCAAAGUAAAACCCAUCCACAGCUCCACGGAAACACAGAGCACAGCUUCUCCAUGCCCCUAGCUUUGAGUCAUUAUAAAGGCAAUCACGGACUCUCAGAAAAGCGUAACUGGCUUGUAAAACAUGUGUUUAUGGACUUUCUUUUUUUUUUUUUUCUGAGAUGGAGCCUCGCUCUUGUCACCCAGGCGGCAGCGAUCCUGGGAGUGCAGUGCUGCAGGCCCGUCCAUGCCUGAGCUGCACCUGGAGGCGUCCUCCACCCCUGACUACUGUCAAUGAAGACAGUCAAACUCUAAAAUAUUUGAAGAGAUUUCCUGUGAGCCAAAUAUGAGUGACCAAUUCUUACAGCGGGUAGCAAGUCAGACAUGAGCAGACAGGAGAGGGCCCCCCUCCAGCCAGGAGUGUCAGGCGACCAUCAGGGGAUGGUCAGGUGGCUGUUAACUGUCUCGCUAAAGUAAUUAGUUGCAGCUGGCACCAAGGAACAGCAGCCUCCCCCCCCCCGCCCUCAAUAGACAGAAACACCUGCAACUGGUGAUCAGCCACUUCCUGAUAAGAUCUCAGGAGCUGGGCAAGUGGCUCAAGCAUGUGCACUAAGAGGCAAACCUGGAGGACGAUGUUCCUCUAGGAACACUGGGCUGGAGGACGACGUUCCUCUAGGAACACUGGGCUGGAGGACGACGUUCCUCUGGGAAUACUGGGCUGGUAAGGGAGGAAUGCCUCAAAGGAGCACGCGUACAACUCCAGUAAACCCACUGUGCAUGCAGGCCCUACCAGGUGCUGGCAGGCCACUGUGCAUGUGGACAGCCCACCCCACAGGAAGAAUCAGGGGAGAAGGGAUGCAAGACGCCUGGCCCUAAGUCAAAGGCUGUGGACUUGAUCUCGCGAGUCACCCACUUGGUCCUCUUCCAAUUAUACUUUCCUUCCUUUUUUUUCCUGCUCUGAAUGUUUAAAUAAAUUCACUCCUGCUCUAAA
Molecule: long non-coding RNA, 1927 nt
Organism: Macaca fascicularis (crab-eating macaque)
Lineage: Eukaryota; Metazoa; Chordata; Mammalia; Primates; Cercopithecidae
Source: Ensembl